AGCUCCAAUAGCGUAUAUUAAAGUUGUUGCAGUUAAAAAGCUCGUAGUUGGAUUUCUGGGUCAAGCUCCUGGUCCGCCGCUCCGCGGUGCCGACUAUGUGUAGCGUUGGCUCAUCCUUGUGGGAAAGUCAGUCCGGCGUUCAUUCGUCAGCUGUUGGAACCACAUCUUUUACUGUGAAAAAAUUAGAGUGUUCAAAGCAGGCUUACGCUAUGAAUACAUUAGCAUGGAAUAAUAAGAUAGGACUUUGGUUCUAUUUUGUUGGUUGGAGGCCAAGGUAAUGAUUAAUAGGGAUAGUUGGGGGUAUUCAUAUUUAAUUGUCAGAGGUGAAAUUCUUGGAUUUAUGAAAGAUGAACUUAUGCGAAAGCAUUUACCAAGGAUGUUUUCA
This 385-nucleotide ribosomal RNA is filed under the name uncultured eukaryote. RNAcentral describes it as "SSU rRNA". It matches the Rfam family "Eukaryotic small subunit ribosomal RNA", at positions 587 to 972 of the family's 1831-position model. The record is from RNAcentral.